This 491-nucleotide ribosomal RNA is filed under the name uncultured bacterium. RNAcentral's name for it is "partial 16S ribosomal RNA". It matches the Rfam family "Bacterial small subunit ribosomal RNA", at positions 29 to 507 of the family's 1533-position model. The record is from RNAcentral.
AGUGAACGCUGGCGGUAGGCCUAACACAUGCAAGUCGAACGGCAGCACAGUAAGAGCUUGCUCUUACGGGUGGCGAGUGGCGGACGGGUGAGGAAUACAUCUGAAUCUACUUUUUCGUGGGGAUAACGUAGGGAAACUUACGCUAAUACCGCAUACGACCUACGGGUGAAAGCAGGGGAUCUUCGGACCUUGCGCGAUUGAAUGAGCCGAUGUCGGAUUAGCUAGUUGGCGGGGUAAAGGCCCACCAAGGCGACGAUCCGUAGCUGGUCUGAGAGGAUGAUCAGCCACACUGGAACUGAGACACGGUCCAGACUCCUACGGGAGGCAGCAGUGGGGAAUAUUGGACAAUGGGCGCAAGCCUGAUCCAGCCAUACCGCGUGGGUGAAGAAGGCCUUCGGGUUGUAAAGCCCUUUUGUUGGGAAAGAAAAGCAGCAGGUUAAUACCCCGCUGUUCUGACGGUACCCAAAGAAUAAGCACCGGCUAACUUCGUG